UACGUAGGAGGCAAGCGUUGUCCGGAUUUACUGGGCGUAAAGCGCGCGCAGGCGGCAGUGCAAGUAAGGUGUGAAAUCUCCCUGCUCAACGGGGAGGGUGCAUUUUAGACUGCACAGCUAGAGGUCGGUAGAGGGGGGUGGAAUUGCUGGUGUAGCGGUGAAAUGCGUAGAGAUCAGCAGGAACACCCGUGGCGAAGGCGGCCCCCUGGGCCGUACCUGACGCUGAGGCGCGAAGGCUAGGGGAGCAAACAGG
This 253-nucleotide ribosomal RNA is filed under the name uncultured bacterium. Its description in RNAcentral is "partial 16S ribosomal RNA". It matches the Rfam family "Bacterial small subunit ribosomal RNA", at positions 524 to 776 of the family's 1533-position model. The record is from RNAcentral.